GAGUUUGAUCUUGGCUCAGGAUGAACGCCGGCGGUGUGCCUAAUACAUGCAAGUCGUACGCACUGGCCCAACUGAUUGAUGGUGCUUGCACCUGAUCGACGAUGGAUCACCAGUGAGUGGCGGACGGGUGAGUAACACGUAGGUAACCUGCCCUGUACAGGGGAUAACAAUCAGAAAUGACUGCUAAUACCGCACAAGACCACAGCACCGCAUGGUGCAGGGGUAAAAACUCCGGUGGUACAGGAUGGACCCGCGUCUGAUUAGCUGGUUGGUGAGGUAACGGCUCACCAAGGCGACGAUCAGUAGCCGGCUUGAGAGAGUGAACGGCCACAUUGGGACUGAGACACGGCCCAAACUCCUACGGGAGGCAGCAGUGGGAAUAUUGCACAAUGGGGAAACCCUGAUGCAGCAACGCCGCGUGAGUGAAGAAGUAUUUCGGUAUGUAAAGCUCUAUCAGCAGGGAAGAAAGUGACGGUACCUGACUAAG
RNAcentral lists this ribosomal RNA (487 nucleotides) under uncultured microorganism. Its description in RNAcentral is "bacterial SSU rRNA". It matches the Rfam family "Bacterial small subunit ribosomal RNA", at positions 9 to 487 of the family's 1533-position model. The record is from RNAcentral.